This 125-nucleotide ribosomal RNA is filed under the name Salvator merianae (Argentine black and white tegu). The record is from RNAcentral. Lineage: Eukaryota; Metazoa; Chordata; Lepidosauria; Squamata; Teiidae.
UCUGAUCUCACUGUUUAUACUGCACCUCAUCAAUCUCAUCUGAUUUUGGAAGGUAAGCAGGUUUAAGGCCUGGUUAGCACUUGAAUAGGAGGGCACCUGGGAAUACCACAUGCUGCAGCUUAGAA